Molecule: long non-coding RNA, 433 nt
Filed under: Homo sapiens (human)
Lineage: Eukaryota; Metazoa; Chordata; Mammalia; Primates; Hominidae
Description: non-protein coding lnc-BAG1-2:14
Source: RNAcentral
AGACGGGGUUUCACUGUGUUAGCCAGGCUGGUCUCGAUUUCUUGACCUCGUGAUCCACCUGCCUCGGCCUCCCAAAGUGCUGGGAUUACACGCGUGAGCCGCCAUGCCCAGCCAGAAACGCAUCUUUUUCUACAUAGUUGCUGUUGCUGAUGCAAAGAAGUCUCGCGAAUUCAAUCCAAAUAAUUCCACUGCUGUGCUGAGAAAAGGGAUAUGUGAAUACCAUUUAAAAAACUAUGCUGCUGCUCUAGAAACUUUUAUAGGAGGACAAAAAUUAGUGCAGAUGCUAAUUUCAGUGACUGGAUUAAAAGGUGUCAAGAAGCUCAUGUCUAUGAGUGGCUGAGAGACCUGUUUAAUUCUGGGGUAUAGAAUUAAGAUGGCCACCUGCCUGCAAGUAGAGAUAAGCUGCAUUCUCCCAAAUCAACUUUGUUCAUAA